RNAcentral lists this long non-coding RNA (881 nucleotides) under Nicotiana tabacum (common tobacco). Its description in RNAcentral is "long non-coding RNA (NTAB_LNC007587)". Lineage: Eukaryota; Viridiplantae; Streptophyta; Magnoliopsida; Solanales; Solanaceae. The record is from RNAcentral.
UGCGAAAGACAUCAAGUGUAAGGUACAGCUGCUUGUGCUCACCAACUACACAUGCAGGUUCUUUCAGGUGCAGAUACCACAGGAACCCUGCGUUGACUCGCACUAGCAUGUCAGUUGGCUCGAAACUCUCUGAGUUGGCUACUGGAAAGCAAUGUUGCUCAGAUUCUCCGAAAAUGUCAUCAGGCACAUGUCGGAUCCUCCAAAAGUAGUGCAUUUUUGGAGGAUCCAACAUAAAUGCGGUAGCAUUUUGGAGAGUUCGCGCAACAUAGCUGGAAAAUGACCUACUCAUAGCAUGUUCAGCACAGGGUAGCUUCACCAAUUAAGGCUCUCUCACAGAUGAAAAGCAUUAAGCAUCUAAUAAUUUGCUUUGUAGCUGUCCUUUCAUAAUAUUUUAUCUUUUUUACUUACUCAUUAAGAACUGUGUUAAUUGAUAACUGAGAUUGUAAAUUGAUGAAGAAUGAUAGGUUGUGUAUCUAUAUCGUGGUUGAUUCUUAGUUAAAUGGUUGCACAUGUUUCUUUUAUACAAUUCAUAAACCCCCACCUUUAAGAUAACCAAAAAAGAAAAAGGAGUGUUUUACCUCUUUUCUUGGUUGCUGCAGUCAAAAGGAAGAAAAUAUGAAGCAACUUUGUUAGUGCAUUGGUGUAACUGGUAAAGUUGUUGCCAUGUGACCAGGAUGUUACGGGUUCGAGCCGUGGAAACAACCUCUUGUAGAAAUGGAGGAUAAGGCUGUACGCGUACAAUAGACUUGUGGUCCGGCCCUUCCCCAGAUUUCGCACAUAGCGAGAGCUUAGUGCAGCGGGCUGCCUUUUUUAACUUUGUUAGUGCAUUAAAAAGAAAGUUAAAAGAGAAGCAAAUCAAGCUUAAACCAAAAACAAAUAUA